GCCCCCGUAGCUCAGGGGAUAGAGCGCAGCGCUGCGGACGCUGAGGUCGCAGGUUCAAGUCCUGUCGGGGGUGCCA
RNAcentral lists this transfer RNA (76 nucleotides) under Chloroflexota bacterium. RNAcentral's name for it is "Chloroflexi bacterium (oil production facility metagenome) tRNA-Arg". It matches the Rfam family "tRNA". From Rfam's summary of the family: Transfer RNA (tRNA) molecules are approximately 80 nucleotides in length. The record is from RNAcentral. Lineage: Bacteria; Bacillati; Chloroflexota.